AUUGAACGCUGGCGGCAUGCCUUACACAUGCAAGUCGAACGGUAACAGGUCUUCGGAUGCUGACGAGUGGCGAACGGGUGAGUAAUACAUCGGAACGUGCCCGAUCGUGGGGGAUAACGGAGCGAAAGCUUUGCUAAUACCGCAUACGAUCUACGGAUGAAAGCAGGGGACCGCAAGGCCUUUGCGCGGACGGAGCGGCCGAUGGCAGAUUAGGUAGUUGGUGGGAUAAAAGCUUACCAAGCCGACGAUCUGUAGCUGGUCUGAGAGGACGACCAGCCACACUGGGACUGAGACACGGCCCAGACUCCUACGGGAGGCAGCAGUGGGGAAUUUUGGACAAUGGCGGAAAGACCUGAUCCAGCCAUGCGCGUGC
This 373-nucleotide ribosomal RNA is filed under the name uncultured bacterium. RNAcentral describes it as "bacterial SSU rRNA". It matches the Rfam family "Bacterial small subunit ribosomal RNA", at positions 30 to 404 of the family's 1533-position model. The record is from RNAcentral.